ACAGGGAGCAUUGUGUGCAAUACU
This 24-nucleotide non-coding RNA is filed under the name Arabidopsis thaliana (thale cress). Lineage: Eukaryota; Viridiplantae; Streptophyta; Magnoliopsida; Brassicales; Brassicaceae. The record is from RNAcentral.